GUGGGGAAUAUUGCACAAUGGGGGAAACCCUGAUGCAGCGACGCCGCGUGAGCGAAGAAGUAUUUCGGUAUGUAAAGCUCUAUCAGCAGGGAAGAAAUUGACGGUACCUGAGUAAGAAGCUCCGGCUAAAUACGUGCCAGCAGCCGCGGUAAUACGUAUGGAGCAAGCGUUAUCCGGAUUUACUGGGUGUAAAGGGAGCGUAGGCGGCCUGCCAAGUCUGAUGUGAAAUACCGGGGCUCAACCCCGGGGCUGCAUUGGAAACUGGCAGGCUGGAGUGUCGGAGAGGCAGGCGGAAUUCCUAGUGUAGCGGUGAAAUGCGUAGAUAUUAGGAGGAACACCAGUGGCGAAGGCGGCCUGCUGGACGAUGACUGACGCUGAGGCUCGAAAGCGUGGGGAGCAAACAGG
Molecule: ribosomal RNA, 405 nt
Filed under: uncultured bacterium
Lineage: Bacteria
Description: bacterial SSU rRNA
Rfam family: Bacterial small subunit ribosomal RNA
Source: RNAcentral